RNA transcript from Betta splendens (Siamese fighting fish), 2201 nucleotides. RefSeq lists it as uncharacterized. The transcript has 6 exons. Lineage: Eukaryota; Metazoa; Chordata; Actinopteri; Anabantiformes; Osphronemidae. The record is from RefSeq and is a predicted model, not a curated record.
CUACUUUGCUAUGAUGACAAUGAGUGGACGUGGGAAAGGCGGAAAAGGACUCGGUAAAGGAGGUGCCAAGCAUCACCGUAAAGUUCUACGUGACAACAUCCAGGGCAUAACUAAGCCCGCCAUCCGUCGUCUGGCCCGCCGCGGUGGAGUCAAGCGUAUCAGUCUCAUCUACGAGGAGACUCGCGGCGUGUUGAAGGUUUUCCUGGAGAACGUGAUCCGUGACGCUGUCACUUACACGGAACACGCCAAGAGGAAAACUGUGACCGCCAUGGACGUGGUCUACGCCUUGAAGAGACAGGGAUGCUCCCACAACGGCUUUGGAAGUUAAAUAGGACUCAAGAACAACCACUAAAGGCUCUUUUAAGAGCCACACACUCUGCUAUGAGCUACUUCCUGUUUUCAAUUACAAUAUGAAAACUAUUAAAACCUAAAUCUACGACACUUGUGAUUAACCUGGACAUGUAACUGUCUGGACCUCACAUAUGGUCAUGAGCUUUGGGUCAUGACCAAAAGAGCAAGAUCAUGGACACAAGCGGCUGAAAUGAGCUUCCUCUGUAGGGUGGCUGGGCACUCUCUUAGAGAUAAGGUGAGGAGCUUUUGUCACCCAGGAGGAGCUCAGAGUAGAGUUCCUCCUCCUCCACAUCGAGAGGAGCCAGUGGGGGUGGCUUGGGUAUCUGGUUUGGAUGCAUUCUGGACACCUCCCUGGGGAGGUAUCUGGGCGUGUCCCACCAGUAGGAGGCCCCGGGGAAGACAGGACAUGCUGGGUCUUCCUCGUGUCUCUUGAUUGGCCUGGGAACGCCUUCGGGUCCCACCGGAAGAGCAGGGGAGAGGGAAUUCUGGAGCUCUGCUUAGACUGCUGCCCCUGCGCCCUGGAUAAGCGGUUGAAAAUGGAUGGAUGGUGAUUUAACAGGAGGACACACAUGUGACUAUAACCUGGACACAUAAUUGUCUGCAAUGAUUUUACACCUUUUAAACAAAUUCAGGUUCAGAACAGAGCUUCUGAGUCCUAUACGUCAGAUCUACAGACAUGUUCUGUCUUGUCUACAGACGUCAGUUUUGAGAGACCAUUCGUCAUGUGGCCCCGUCAGGGCUUCCACCGUUGCUCCCUGUUCCUGCUUAUAAAACUCUCAGCGACUCCCUCAAGUCAGUUUAAUCGAGGACACAAUGGACGUAUCACAGAUGAUCAUUGCAUUUCUGGUGCUGAAGAUGAACCUUCAACCUAUCAGCAUGAAAGUUCUGCCAAACCCCAAUGGAUGUCCAUCAUGUCCUGAAGGUUACUUCCUGAAGGAAAACUGCACCAUAACCCCUGACAUGAAGGUGGGAAUCCGCUGUGCUAUGUGCACAAACUGCUCAGCACUGGAUCAGGAAACUCUGACAGCGUGUUCUAAGACUGUAGACUCUGUGUGUGGACCCAAGACAAAAAGCCUCCCACCAAACAUGACCCUGACCGGAGCAGAAAAUAACGCAACAGACUUUGCUCCUGACCAGUGGAUUGUCCCUUGUAUAAUAGUUGCUUCUCUGGUCUUAAUCAUCCUGCUCAGUUUGUUUCUCAUCCUGUUGCCUUGCUGGGUUCCACAUCAGAACAAAUCAGAAGGUAAUAAGGUUGCAUUAUAGAUCUCAACAAUUUUAUGUUGGUAGCCUCACUGUUCACCUUGUUGUUUCCUUCACGCUACAUAGGUCUGGAUUUAGCCUGACUGAAGUAAAUUUGCUGUUGAACAACAUCUUUUAGUGUUGAUGGCAUUGGGACGAACUGCUGGGCCAGUUUUAGUCCAUGGAGGUAGACAUGGUUUAGUCCAGAGUCAGUCUAGGAAGGAAGAGAAUAGUCAUAGUCUAGGAUGGGUUCAGUGUCAGUCCUGGUUUAGCUCAGGUAGGGACAGUAUGUGUCAGGCUCAGUCUAGAUGUAACUCAGGUGUACUACAGGUCAAGGUCCAGUUUAAGCGCAGUUAGAGUUAAGCAUGAGCUAGAGUUGUCCUGUGAGAUAAGAGUGCAACUCUCCAUCUACAGUACAAUCAGAACAAUGUGCUAGAACAUUAAUGUACUGUAUGCUCUGAUGUUUUGGUGGUUUUAGUUUAGUUUCAGAUUACAAUGUUUUGUUCAUGUAAAUAUGAUGAUUUUACUGUGAAUCUUUGUUCAAACAUGUGUGAUUUCUUUGACGUAGAUUGAUGAACUAUGAUCUGCUAAUAAAUGAAACUAUAACUAUG